CAAGAUGACAGUUAAUCGUUCAGAAUAUAUUUACAAGAGCAGUACAAAGAAUAACGCGAUAUUACACGUACAUAUUUGUUACGUACACUAACAAGUAAUUGGUAAGCAGGUGAACAGUUUAAUUGUUAAUCGAGGCACGUGACAAUAAGGCAUUUCUACAGAGGACAAAAUACGAUCGUAUACAUGUAAGGUACUUUUGCAUCGUUCUUAUUGUUUGAAAAAAAAAAAAAAUACUUUUUAAAGUUUCAUUUAUUAGCGAACCAAAGACUGAUACUUGAUUUAUAUUUCAAGUAGAAUAACACCGAAAUAGUCGAUAUGUAAUAAACAUGAAGUUUAGUCGUAGAGACGUGAAACUUAAUACAAACGACGUGGAACUAUCUAACUGGCAGCUCCUCGGCUGAUCUUACAUGUUUACAAUCGUAUAAAUUUACAUUAGUGGACGUCACAAUGAAAGUUGUGUUAGUACGUCGGUGCAAAAAAUGCGUAUCAGUGUUAUCAUCGCUUCUCAGCGUGUCUCGUUACACCGAUUAUACAAAUAGUAUACCACAUUGUUCGUAAAGAGUGUGUGUGCACGGAUACAUGGUAAUCAGAUUAUCGCUAAAUCAAGUACGAGAUCGAAGAAGUCGAGAUGAAUGAUCGAGCAACAAGAAGACAGAGAUAGAAAGAGAGACGUAACUGUAACGAUUGAUACAGGAAGAGCGUCAAAAAUGAUCCAUGAGUACUUUGAAAAAAGAAAAAAAAAUGAAAUAUAAUUAAAGUUAGUAUCGAAGAGAGAAAGCAUGUAAUAUGGAACAUGUUAAAGGUUUCUUUUACACGUUUGGAGACACUGAACAACGAAGAUGCACAUUGUUAAUGGGGAAGAAACGUUCACAAUUAUGAAACGAUGAAUGAAACAUUGUUGGAUUAGAGAAAAGAAUUUACAGUAGUCACAGACAUAUCACGAUGUUAGUUAAAUUACCACUGAUUUGAACGUGUGCGAGUUUCACUUACGAUCAUUUAAUGGAAUCGUAAAAAUGGAUUCUGAUCAAAUUCUUAAUGUAACAUACUUAUUGUUUGUAGUAGAUUCGCACACGUUCGCAGACACAAACGCACAGUUCAUACAACGAUACAUACGUACUUGUUCUACUCGUAUAAUUAUAUUAAAUUGUAACAUAUGAGCUGUUUAUUUCUUUUUGGAUCGGUAUCGAAACAAGUAAAUCACACAACUGCUACGGAAUAAGAAAAUCGAAAUUUUACAAUGUGUUCUAACUUUAUUAUAAGAUAGAAAAUGAAUUUCUUCUAUUUUAAAGAUGGACCACGUUACAUAUGUUACAAUUCAAUGGUCUUUUUUUGUCUUUUUCUUUUUAAUAAAAACAGUGGGACAGAUAAUUCUGUAAGUAUAGUCAUGGGAAACGUAGUAUAUUUGUAAAUUGGACCAAAGAGCUUUGUAUAAAAUACUUCAACACUUUUAAACAUUUAUAUAAUAACGAUAACAAUGAAAAUUAAAUCACAGUUGAAAUAUUUCAUACCGAGCUCCGAGUUCUAGUUUCUUUUCCUAUAUAUUUCUAUCAUAUUGUUCGCUAGUGGCUUUACAAUUAUACUGUAAUGUUUCCACUAACUAUACAUUGUGUACUUUUAUGUACAUAUAUGACCCAACGACUUCUUUUUUUUGGUCGCACACAUACCUCUCGACAUCAUAUCCGGUACCAAAGGAACUCGAAUUCAUUUUAUAUGUAUAUCUUUUUCAGGGUAACAACGAACCGUUAGAAAAAUACUUCCAUUUCUACUACUCAGUUUGAACAAGCCUGAUGCUUGUGCGAGCUGGCAAAUUAGUACAACAAACAAUUUAUUACAAAACAAGGAAAAUGGAUAUUUAAUGGAGAACGUUUAAAAUACUGCGAAAUAUAAAAACCAAGUAAAAUGUAUUCUAUGGGAAACAUCAUAUCAUUAUGCACUUGAUACACUGAAAUAUAGCACAAUGUGUGUUUACAAUGUUCCUCGGGGGCGCGCCUAUGUAUAUGCACGUAAUUAUGUGUUUCUGCAUAUUGUUCGUGUACGUGUGUGAUUGAGUUUGUGAUGUACACAAGUGACCGUACGAAAUAAUUUUUUUUCGAUUAUCAUCGCUUGAAUUUCAAUAAUAAUCAUCAUCAUACUGACCGAGCAAUAGGCGAUACGACGGGUAUGAUCGUUCAUGAUCGAUAAUAAUAAUAAUAAUAUUAAUAAUACAAAUAAUAGUAGUAAUAAUAGUAGUAGUAACGGUAGUAGAGUAAUAAUAAUAGUAGUGGUAAUGGUUGUGUGGUAAUAACGGUAAGAGUAAUAAUAGCGAGACAACGAUGAUAAUGAUGAUAAUCACGAUAGAUUGUUAUUGUUAUUAUUAUUAUUAUUAUUAUUAUAACGUAUUGACAAUAAUAUAACAUGUAACAACGACCGGAUAUGUCGAGCACCAAAGAAAUACGCGUUAAAUGUUAUCACGUUUAAAUCGGGCAAUGGCGAGUACUUUUAAUAAUGAUUUUAUACACAUCACAGAAAUAUUAAUAUACUGUAUAAUUUCAACGAAAAGAAAAAGUUCAAAAUCCCUGAAGAGAUUUGGAAGGAUCAAAGACUAAAAAAUUUGAUACAGUAAGGUAGCAGAAAGAAAAGUAACUAAAAAUUAAUUUUAAGUAGCAUUAAUAUUGCACUAGUAUUCAUCCUUGAAUCGAGAUCAAAAUGAAAGAAGCGACUCGUAGGUGCCCGAUUUUCACGCGACAAAUAUGCCGAUACCAUUCUACAUACUCGGCCAUAUUUUUAAUCUAUUUUCUGUCGUUUUAGGUGUACAUUCUUCAACGAAGAAACAAAAUCAGAGAAAAGAUUCAUCUCGCGGUUCUGUACAACGAUCUUGACGAUCAAUACCGAUUACGAGCCUGUAAACCAAGAGUUUUCGGAUAAUCUGGGAAGCAGAAAACAGCAAACAGGAGAGAAAUAAAAAGAAAGAGAAAGAAGAAAGAAACGGAGGCAACUUGAACGUAAAAUAAUAAAAAUCGGUUCGUCUCUCUUGAGGAUCGGUGAAAUUCACGAUAAUGGCACUAUACAAAUUACGAAAAAAUCUUAUUAUUCUCUCCGCUUAUCAGCACGGAUCGAUUAGUCUACUUAAACGCACAACUAUAAUAUACGCCAUAAUAGUUUAAUAUCUAUAGCACGUUACGCGGUUAAACUUCGGUAUUACAUACAGUACGUGUGUCUGUGUUUGUCUGUAUUUGUGUGUUGUCUAUUUAAAAACCUUUAUACACCAUUUUUUUCCUUUACUCUUUUUUUUCUCUUAAUUCUUUUUUUCCUCCCUUUCAUUGUACCCCGCUCGACGUUCGAUGGGUCGCUCUUUAACAGUACAACGUAAACGAUCUUUUCUUAUAAUUGUACAUAUACAAAGCGGGGCAUUAACUUUGUGCAUAGAAAAUGUUUCUGCUAUUUCUAACAAUAUGGAAGAAUAUUAUUUAUAAAAUAAUUUACUGUUAGAAAAAUAUUGAAUAGGAGAUAUAAGUAAUUUAACAAUUACAAUAUUUAUGACUUAUUAAGGCUAAGAAAAUAGUAAUAUAAUAUCCUUGAAAUCUCCAUUUACAGAAGAAACUAUUAUUAACACAUUACAAUCUUCACACACCAUACAAUUUCAUCAAAUAAUAUUCUUUCAUAUCUUGAAAAAAGAAUAGGAGAAACUAUUUUCGAUGUACAAUCCUCUGUACAUAUUACAUGUAUCGUACAAAUAACAGUAUCGUUAUGCCUAUAAUAUUUAGAAAGUAUAUUAAUAACCAUACAAGUAGUCCCGUGCGUUUUCAAGCUUCGAUCGAUCAUGUGAAAAAGAAUCUCUUCGUGCGAGGUUCAUCCUAUAUAUUUAUAUACCAUAUACAUACAUAUAUAUAUAUAUAUAUAUACGUAAUUUUUUUCUUAUUUCAUUCAUUCUUUUACCCUAUUUUAUUUACAGAACGAAUCAACAUCGAAUGACGGUCAAACCAGCCAGAAAACGUACGGACCGAUGGUUCACGAUAAAAUAGUGGUGUGUAUUUUGGAUCACCUUUAAAAACGUGAUGCUACGUGGCUUUACAGAUAUGUUCAGUAUUUAAAACUUACUCUUAUAUACGCGCAUGUAUCUGUUUGUGUAUGUGUAUAUACAUAUAAUUAUGUACGUUCAUGUACUUCGCGGUGAAAACAGUUGUGGCUAGUAUGUUCGCUUAAAUUUUCUGAAUUUUCCUUUAUAUACAGUAAUGCUCCGUUAGUGUUCCAGCGAUUGCUCACACUGCAGUAUUAAUAUUAAUAAUAUUAAUUCAGUGUGAAGUAGAAAAUUUAAAAUUUCAAUGACUUUUAUCUCGGUGGGCCGUUAACACUUGCUUCAUCGUUAAUGAGAUGUAUAGACUCCACAAAAUUUGCGACCACUCACCGAGCAUUACUGUAUUGUUUUUUAUUUUAUUUUUUUUUUGUUACAGUUUUACGACCUGUGUGCGAGAGUUAACCGAUACUUGUGCAUCUUUGCGACCCUGAUUCACCGUUCACACCAUUGACUCACAGGGGUCUUCGCCUCUCGAGUUACAACGUCGUCGAAUUCGGACGCUCGAUUCGAUUUUUCGUGACUCAAUUGCACGAGUUUAACAACGAGGACAAAUAGAGAGAAAUUCUUAAGUUUUCCGAUAAGUUCGUUCGCUAAUUUAACGUGGCGAACGAUCGUAACACUUUAUCAUCGGGACGGUUCGUUUUCUAUGUAAAUUGAUGGUGAUCGUGAACGAAUAGGAGUUUUGAGACUGAAAAUUUCUAACGUUUCACCAUCAUAGCGAACGAAUUCCUAUAUUAAAAACGUUCUCCAACAAAGUGUUUCUACAGUAAACGGUGAAACUCUAUGUUCUUACUAAGAAUCGAAUAGGAAGAGCCCCGUUUCAAAAUUGUACUCUUUCAAUUCAGAUCGUUUCAAAGUUUUCAAAUGGAAAAAUGUCGCUUUAAAAUACCUUGAUUCCCGACAGUAGAGUUCGCAACGCGAUUCGUCUCGAAGGCACAAAAGGUUAAUCAAUCGAUUCGUUAAACUAAAUUUUUUUUUUCUUUCUAUAUUUACAACUGUCUCUCUACGCUCUCUUCUAUUCUACAACAUCGAAGCGUCAAAGUUGUUCCGAGUAUCUCGUGAAUUAUUAAUCUUAUUUCGAAUAUUCUGAUACGCCCGAGUGUAUAAAAGAUUAUUUUUAAAAUGAUUAAUAUCUUUUUAAGAUCGCGCGGUAUACGAAUAUUCGAAAUCGAAACUACACACGCAAAUUCUUCGAGAUCGUCGAAGAAUCGAAAAGAAGGUGGAAGAGGAGAUAAGGGAGGGAUGGAAAAAUCGAAA
Osmia bicornis bicornis is the source of this 5311-nucleotide long non-coding RNA. RefSeq lists it as uncharacterized. The record is from RefSeq and is a predicted model, not a curated record. NCBI's taxonomy places the organism in Eukaryota, Metazoa, Arthropoda, Insecta, Hymenoptera, Megachilidae. The transcript has 2 exons.